RNAcentral lists this unclassified non-coding RNA (264 nucleotides) under Pseudowrightoporia cylindrospora. Its description in RNAcentral is "partial internal transcribed spacer region". The stretch from base 1 to 46 matches the Rfam family "Eukaryotic small subunit ribosomal RNA", at positions 1786 to 1831 of the family's 1831-position model. The record is from RNAcentral. Lineage: Eukaryota; Fungi; Basidiomycota; Agaricomycetes; Russulales; Hericiaceae.
AAGUCGUAACAAGGUUUCCGUAGGUGAACCUGCGGAAGGAUCAUUAAUGAAUUUGAAAGGAGGUUGUUGCUGGCCCCCUCCACUUUGGGGGGCAUUGUGCACGCCUCUGAUCUCAUCCACCUCUCACACCCCUGUGCACUCUUGCGUGAGCCUGCUCCAAUGUGGGCUUGCGUUCUUUUAUCAUAAACUCUUAUGCAUGUCUCUGAAUGUUUGUUGCUUUGACGCAAUCUUGUACAACUUUCAACAACGGAUCUCUUGGCUCUC